GCUCCUUGUAAUUUGGUUCUUUUUGAACAGUUGCUAAUAAUUUUGCACUCGAUUUCCAUUUAAAUGGAAAUAUUAACCUCUGGAGCCUGCAGAGGAGCCUAGAAGGGGCUCAUAAGCAUGGCUCUUAUCUCCAUGGCUCAGGGUGUCCCGGGAGUCAAUUCAAACACACUUCUAAAUCACUUUCCUCAGCAGAUGAGGGUCUCACUGCUGUUUUGAAAGACCCUUCCAUUCUCUCCCAGAAAGGAAGUCCGCUUUCUCAUUUACUCGCCUGCCGCUAUGUGAGGAAGUUCUUCUUUAAGUCUAACCUAAAGUUCUCCUGCCAGAACACAAGCUGCCUUUUUCCUGGACCAUCUGGGGGGCAGACAACGGAAACCCACUUCCUAAACUGACGGUGAAGCUCCUAAAAAACUGAGCAAGAGACCCAGGUGGAGGCCGGAACAAAGCCCCAGGGUCAUCAGAAGAGCAUUUUGUCAUCCAACAACGACAAGAAGCCUUGUAAUGCUGUGGACGUCUUCUUCUAAUUUGCACAAAGACAUGCUAUAGUCUGGAGCUGACCUUCAGGAACACAUUCGAGGUCACACAUCGAGAAAGUCGUGGCCAGAGUGGAAAGCCUGGUCAGCUUCCGAGUUCCGGUCUGGUGCACAUCCUCCCU
Molecule: long non-coding RNA, 652 nt
Filed under: Equus caballus (horse)
Lineage: Eukaryota; Metazoa; Chordata; Mammalia; Perissodactyla; Equidae
Description: lncRNA (ENSECAG00000031701.3)
Source: RNAcentral